Corylus avellana is the source of this 1668-nucleotide long non-coding RNA. RefSeq lists it as uncharacterized. Lineage: Eukaryota; Viridiplantae; Streptophyta; Magnoliopsida; Fagales; Betulaceae. The record is from RefSeq and is a predicted model, not a curated record.
UCAACGCUCAUCCAUGGCCGAUUCUAGCUCUAGUUCCGCAUAUUCUCAAAACCCCAACCCAAUCACUAAAAUUUGCCCCUACACUCCUAUGCUUCCCAACGUUACACAAUUGGGUGGUAUCAAACCGAAAGGAUCCUGCAACUACCUUGGAUGGGUUGCUCAAUUCCAGCACAUUCUUUGUGGUUACGAACUUGAGGGAUUAAUUGAUGGAACAGAUCCAUGUCCUCCCAAACUCAUCACCAACCCCAUAGAUGAUGCUCAAAUUCUGAAUCCAGCCUAUGUUACAUGGCGGAGGAGAGACCAACAGCUGCUGAGUCUCAUCAUAUGCUCCUUAGUUCCCUCUCUAGUGUCGUUGAUGUAUGGUUUAAACACAUCUCGACUAGCCUGGAAUGCCCUCGCAACCAGGUUUGCUGCCCAGUCCAGAUCAUGCAUCUCUAAUCUCAAGCGUCAGUUGCAAAGCUUGCUGUAGGGAAGUAAGUCGUGUACUGAGUACUUGAAUCAAGCUAAACAAUGGGCUCAUGAAUUAUCUACAGUAGGUAAGCCCCUUGAAGAUGAUGAUCUCAUCUUAUUUAUUAUCAGUGGAAUAAAUCCAAUGUUCAAUUAUUUUGUUACUGCAUUCACCUUACGUGACCGUGCAAUGACUUUUCUUGAUUUUCAAUCUGAAUUGUUAAGUCAUGAAAUAUUGCUUCAAAACCAACAGCACACUCUCACGCCUGAAGCUGGUCCUUUUGCCUUAUUUGCCAACAAACCAAACCAAUCACAUUCCCAUCCACACCAUUCUACCCACUUUAGGAAAACAAAAUUUUCCUCAAGACCAAACCAAAAUAGCCAAUCACGUCCUUUCCAUUUUUCUCCAUGUAACCACACUUCCCCACCAAAUCGCCCACCAACACCACACCAUGGGAAUUCCUCAUUUAGUGCUCCACACCAUGGGAAUUCCUCAUUCAAUGCUCCUCCAACCCCACGGUUCCUAUGCCAAAUCUGUGAGAAAAGCAGUCAUAGGGCUUUAGAUUGCUACCACAGAAUGGACUAUGCCUAUCAAGGAAGGCAUCCACAACACAACUAGCAGCAAUGGUUCCCCACACAAAUGGCGAUUUUGAAACUCAAGACUGGUUAGUUGACUCUGGAGCCAACACUCAUGUGACAAUUGAUUCCUCCAACAUCACUGAUACUCAACCAUUUGCAGGAGCAGACACUGUGGGUGUAGGCAACAGUUCAGGACAACUUGACAGGAGCCGUACUGCUUCAGGGGCCGAGUGAGAAUGGGCUCUACCCUAUCCAUCUCCACAGAAAAUUCAUGAAUAAACUCAAGGGGUUUGCAGCUCUUCUUGGUGUUAAAACUACCAACAUGGUUUGGCAUCAAAGGCUAGGACACCCAUCAGCCCCUGUUUUCCAGCAUCUCCUUCAUCACUAGAAAAUUCCUCUUGUUGGGUCUUUUAAUAAAUCUAGAGUCUGUGAGUCAUGUCAACUUGGAAAAUUUAAGCAAUUGCCUUUUUCUAAGUCCAGUCGUGUUUCCACUACUCCCUUAGAAAUAAUUCACUUAGAUGUUUGGAUAUCUCCUGUUCCGUCACUUAGUGGAUGCAAAUUUUAUGUAUUGUUUAUUGAUGACUACAACUGAUACACCUGGUUGUAUCCCAUUAUGAAUAAAAGUGAUGUCUUUUAAUGUUU